RNAcentral lists this ribosomal RNA (336 nucleotides) under Armadillo officinalis (oak-woodland pillbug). RNAcentral's name for it is "partial small subunit ribosomal RNA". Lineage: Eukaryota; Metazoa; Arthropoda; Malacostraca; Isopoda; Armadillidae. The record is from RNAcentral.
AGAGUGACGGGCGAUAUGUACACAUUCAAUAUAAUGGUCAUUUAAGCAUAUUAAACAUUAAAUUACUUUCAAAUCCAUUUUCUUUUCUUUUUUAAAAAAAAAUUCCAGUUUUUGCUAAAUUGUAAUCCACCUUAUCCUAACUAAAGCUGCACCUGGAUCUAUUUUUUUUAAUUACUUUUAAUUUGAAUAACCUUUUUAAAAAGGUAUUUAUACAACGGUAUACAUACUUUUAGCAGGUAAGAUAUAUCGUGGGUUAUCGUUUAUUAGGCAGAUUCCUCUGAGAGUAUAGGAUGCCGCCAAGUUCUUUAGGUUUCAAGAUAGUAGCUAUUAGUACCU